CCUACGGGAGGCAGCAGCCAGGAAUCUUGCACAAUGGGCGAAAGCCUGAUGCAGCAACACCGUGUGGGCGAGGAAGGCCUUCGGGUCGUAAAGCCCUGUUGUUGGGGACGAAGGGCGAAGGGUUAAUAGCCCUUAGCCUGACUGUACCCUUCGAGGAAGCCCCGGCUAACUACGUGCCAGCAGCCGCGGUAAUACGUAGGGGGCGAGCGUUGUCCGGAAUUAUUGGGCGUAAAGAGCGUGUAGGCGGCCUGGUAAGUCUGCUGUGAAACCCUGGGGCUCAACCCCGGGCGUGCAGUGGAUACUGCCAGGCUAGAGGGUGGUAGAGGCGAGUGGAAUUCCCGGUGUAGCGGUGAAAUGCGCAGAUAUCGGGAGGAACACCAGUAGCGAAGGCGGCUCGCUGGGCCAUUCCUGACGCUGAGACGCGAAAGCGUGGGGAGCAA
This 440-nucleotide ribosomal RNA is filed under the name uncultured bacterium. Its description in RNAcentral is "bacterial SSU rRNA". It matches the Rfam family "Bacterial small subunit ribosomal RNA", at positions 338 to 771 of the family's 1533-position model. The record is from RNAcentral.